GUGAAAGGCAGAGCAACCAGGCGGAGAGUGUCCUGGACUUCCUGCAGGUGCUCAGCGGUAUCUGACGGAUGCAGUGACUCAGCUCCCAGCACAGAAGCAUGGCGCACCGUGGAGCUGGGUGGAGCUGGGUGGAGCAGCUCAGUUGUGGCCAGACGAGGGCUUCCGGACACCAGGCCGCAGCAGUGUGGCCUCCACCUUGGGUGGCCUGCAGGCAGGAGCGGGACAGACUCUCCGUUCUACCCUCCUUGGUGAGCGUGGAGCUCCAGUCCCCGCCGAGACCUGAGCAGCGGUCCUCUGCUGGGCCGGUCCCCCUGAUGUGCUGCCCACCUUGGGCCCAGAGCACUGGAGUCGGCCUUCUAUGGAUGGAGGCCUCUGAGACCCUGAGCCCCCAAUAAACUUUCCCU
Sciurus carolinensis (gray squirrel) is the source of this 404-nucleotide long non-coding RNA. RefSeq lists it as uncharacterized. NCBI's taxonomy places the organism in Eukaryota, Metazoa, Chordata, Mammalia, Rodentia, Sciuridae. The record is from RefSeq and is a predicted model, not a curated record. The transcript has 3 exons.